UACAGAGGGUGCGAGCGUUAAUCGGAAUUACUGGGCGUAAAGCGUGCGCAGACGGUCACGUAAGUCGGGUGUGAAAGCCCCGGGCUCCAACCUGGGAAUUGCAUUCGAGACUGCGUGGCUAGGGUGCGGAAGGAGGGAAAGCGGGAAUUUCCGGUGUAGCGGUUCGGAAAUGCGUAGGAUAAUCGGAAGGAACACCAGUGGCGAAAGGCGGACAUUCCUCGGUCCAG
Molecule: ribosomal RNA, 227 nt
Filed under: uncultured bacterium
Lineage: Bacteria
Description: partial 16S ribosomal RNA
Rfam family: Bacterial small subunit ribosomal RNA
Source: RNAcentral